GAUCGUCCCCUAAAUAUUCAAAAGUAAAUGAAAUAUAAUUGGUUUAUUGAUCAAUUUGUUUUAAACAGAUAUUAUUUAAUGAUAAGAUUACUAGUAAGUUUUUUGCUGAUGGAGAAAAAGCACAAAUGUAAGAGUUCAGUGCUAGUUUAACUCCGUGUUAUGUUUCUGUUCCAUCUCAGUAUUCUGGUGAGUGGUUGGUCAUUUCUCUUUAUGUUAUUGUCUACUGUUAAAUUGUCAUUUAAGAAACUGGAAUUCUGGGUAAAAAACAUUGUUAUUGGUUACCGUUGUCCCAAAUAAUGGAAAUUCGCCCAAUGAAGAGACGGUAUUUUCAUUUUGGAGUAAGAAACAAUGGAAUUAUCAUUAAGCCAUAGAUUAGAUCACUAUGGAACGGGGGAUUUGGUGUUGAUGUUAGAUGUUAGAUGAUUUAAAAAAGAGGGAAAUAUAUGAAUGCGCCAAUCAAACAUAUAAAUUGAUGAAAACAGACAACACCAUGGCAGACCAAAAUAAAAACUAUGAAAUGACAUACAAAUUUCCACAAAAUACUACGCAGAAAACUAUAACCUGGAAUCCAGAUGAAAUAUUUUCGAUUUCGCAAGCUCCACUUUAAGUAUAACCGCUUACGGUAUUGAUAAUAUUGUUACUAAGAAAACUAAAGAUUGAGCAACAAGAACCCCAUGUAAAACCAGGGGUGAGCUACCGUGACCCGGAUGGGAAAAGUAGUAACUUUUCCACUAGCUUCAUCCGUCGUGUAACCUUUUUUCUGUGAAAUUUAUACUUUGUAUGGACCCAAGGCAAUUUAUAGCUUGUUUUAAGGUAUUGACCACUGUUUCUUAUUAAGUGGUCUCUGGAGGUCUAUUUUGAUUACCCUAUGGUGUUAGGUUGCUGUUUAAUUUAUACUUACUCAAAGUUCAAUGUGAUAUUAUAUUAUGUUACCGUACGAAAUAUAUAAUAAAUGGAGAUUUUUGUUACAAAAUACAAACUUUUUAAUCUGACAGAUAUAUAUUUAGCAUGUUUCAUAAUACACGAAGCUUGUUAUCAAUAUCAACCCACAGAAGAAACAAAUUAUUUCUAUUAUAACAAGAGUUGCAUUAUAUAUAAUUAUAGUGUUAAUUUAUCCUUGUAUGCACAUGAUAGAUGACUAAACAUUAACCUUUUGACAACAUUAUAAGUAACAGAUUUACAGAACAUAUAAAUGUUAAUUACUGUAUUUAAUGGUAGAACAUGACAUUUUAAGUCAACAAUAAUAAUAAUAUGUUGUAUGACUAUUUUGGAAUGUCUUCCUGUAAUAUUUUACACCGUACGCGGUCUCAACCAUUUUGAAAAGGAGGUGGGGGUUCCAAAACCUGGAACACCAUGAAACGUUCACAUAGUUAAAAAAAAAAACAACAACAAGAAUGUGUCCAUAGUACACGGAUGCCCCACUCGCACUAUCAUUUUCUAUGUUCAGCGGUCCGUGAUAUUGGGGUCAAAACUCUAAUUUGGCAUUAAAAUUAGAAAGAUCAUAUCAUAGGAAACGUGUACUAAAUUUCAAGUUGAUUGGACUUCAACUUCAUCAAAAACUACCUUGACCAAAAACUUAAACCUGAAGCGGGACAGACGGACGGACGAACGGACGCACAGACCGAAAAAUAUAAUGCCCCUAGGUGGAGCAUAAAAACGAAAAAGGGGGGGGGGGGCGGUUCCAACCCCCGACACCACCCUGAAUCCGGCCAUUUACACUGUGUUCAUGUAAAAAAAUACGGAGAAAUCUCGUUCUAUUGAAAGAAAAAAAAACUGUCUCCUUGGGUGUUUAUAACUUUAAUACUUGUAAGACAAAUUAUUUUACUUCGUCUCUGUCUUUAAUGAUAGGAAGUUGACGGAAAAACUUCGUCUCUGUUAUUAAUGAUAAGGCGUUGACGGAAAAGGCGCAGGUAACUUAAUAUUAAAAAAAAAACCCGUGAGAUAAGUAAUCAAAAGAUUUGUGAAUGGUAUUUGUCUGACAUAAAUCUAUCCCACAUUGUUAAAUCGUAUUUCAAAACGUUUAUAUAAUUCUUGUCUACUCUAUAGCAAGUGCCUUGCCAUCUUUAAGAAGUCGAACAUGUUUUACUUGGCAAAUAAAGUGUCAAAAUCAUUGUCAGGUUUCAUUGAUUGGAUGCUGUAUGCAUAACGUCCAGUGGUAGUAUUUCAUUCAUAUUCAUUACGAGAAAUAAUUGAUUUAUUGUUGGUAGCUUAACGUCCAGUGGCAAAAAGUUCGUUCAUGUUCAGGACGAUAGACGAGGAAUAGCAACUAUUAUAUAAGUAGUUUUGCAAAGUGUGUCUUCCAGAAAGAAGGGCAGACUAUUUAGAUGACAAGAAUAGUAUGUUUGAUAGAUACAGAAAAUUUGCCUUGCAACAGGCCUCCUACGGAGCCCUAAAAACUGUUGCGAGGGUUCUUUAAUGUGCAGAGCGUUGCAUCUACCCUACACGAGGCAUGGGAUUUAACGUCCCCAUUCCGACUGGACGUGGUUACAUAUUCAUACAUUCAAAACAACCAAACGGAAUCCCCAUUAGCAUUAUAGCAUGAGUCUACUGACAGAUUGGAGUGUCUAGGCAUUUCAGUCAUAAAACAUUACUCAGAACUCGGUGUACAAAUAAACUCAUUAUAGAUACAAGGAUUGAAAUUUUGUACGCCAGACGCACGUUUCGUCUACAAAAGGCUCAUCAGUGACGCUCGAAUCAAAAAAGUUUAAUAGGCCAAAAAAAAAACGAAGUUGAAGAGCAUUGAUUACCAAAAACUCCGAAAGGUUUUGCCAAAUACAGCUAAGGUAAUAUAUUCCUAGAGUAGAAAAAAUCUUAGUAUUUCGAAAAAUUCAAAGUUUUGUAAACAAAAUUUGCGCUUGAAAAACCAUAUCCAGUAUUUUUGAUUGAUUGAUUUAUGAGUCUGAGCCUGAGUACGACAAUGACCAUAUUUCCAUAUCCCAGUCAACCGUUUGGGUAUUAUCAUGUUUAAAAUGACAUUGAUAACGGUUAUUUUCUAUAGAAAUUAUCAUCGCUAUCACGUUUGACAUGACAUAGAUAACGGUUAUUUUCUAUAGAAAUAAUCAUCGCUAUCACGUUUGACAUGACAUUGAUAACGGUUAUUUUCUAUAGAAAUUAUCAUCGCUAUCACGUUUGACAUGACAUAGAUAACGGUUAUUUUCUAUAGAAAUUAUCAUCGCUAUCACGUUUGACAUGACAUAGAUAACGGUUAUUUUCUACAGAAAUUAUCAUCGCUAUCACGUUUGACAUGACAUAGAUAACGGUUAUUUUCUAUAGAAAUUAUCAUCGCUAUCACGUUUGACAUGACAUAGAUAACGGUUAUUUUCUAUAGAAAUUAUCAUCGCUAUCACGUUUGACACGACAUAGAUAACGGUUAUUUUCUAUAGAAAUUAUCAUCGCUAUCAGGUUUGACAUGAAGAUGGAAAAUUUUUACAGAAGUUACCACAAGUUAGUACAGAAAAAAAUAAUUUAACAUCAUGUUUUCAAUCAUAAAAGGCGCUUAUAAACAAUAUGAUUAAUCGAUUAUACCAAUGUUAUGAAUAUAGAUUACACAUGUAUUUCUUUUUUUUUUUGUUAUCUGGCUAAAAACGUCGUACCAGUAAUUUGUUAACAAUUAAAUCAACACUAGACGCUUUAAAGUUUAGAACAACAACAUGCAUAAAAAUUUACAAAUUUCUUCAUCACUGAAAUAUGUGGUUUUUU
This is a long non-coding RNA of Mytilus californianus (California mussel), 3699 nucleotides long. RefSeq lists it as uncharacterized. The transcript has 2 exons. The record is from RefSeq and is a predicted model, not a curated record. Lineage: Eukaryota; Metazoa; Mollusca; Bivalvia; Mytilida; Mytilidae.